GACGAACGCUGGCGGCGUGCUUAACACAUGCAAGUCGAACGGAAAGGCCCUGCUCUUGUGGGGUGCUCGAGUGGCGAGCGGGUGUGUAACACGUGAGUAACAUGCCCUUGUCUUUGGGAUAACUCCUGGAGACUGGGGCUAAUACCGGAUAGGAUCUCCUGCUGCGUGUUGGGGGUUGGAAAGUUUCGGUGGUUGGGGAUGGACUAGCGGGUUACCAGCUUGAUGGUGGGGUAGUGGAUUUCCAAGGCUUUGACGGGAAGCCGGCCUGAGGGGGUGAGGGGCGACAUUGGGACUGAGGUACGGCCGAGGCUGCUACUGGAGGGAAAAGGGGGGAAGAUUGACCAAGGGGCGGAAGGCUGAUGCAGCAACGCCGCGUGCGGGAAGACUCUCUUCGGGGUGUAAACCGCAUUCGUCUGUGACGAAGCGUGUGUGGCGGUAAUGGGUAAAGAAGGACCGGCUAACUAAGGG
Molecule: ribosomal RNA, 468 nt
Filed under: uncultured bacterium
Lineage: Bacteria
Description: partial 16S ribosomal RNA
Rfam family: Bacterial small subunit ribosomal RNA
Source: RNAcentral